AUAAUUUCUGGGCCCUUUUGCUAAGAUCAAGUAUAAUAUCUGUUCUUAUUGUUAUAACAUUUGAUUCUUCCUCUGAGAACAAUUUAUUAGACAUAUUUUUGGAGCUGGAAUAUGGAACUGGUGUUCGAAUACCACCCUGAUACUGCAGUACCUACAGGAAAUUACCCCUU
Molecule: small nuclear RNA, 170 nt
Filed under: Meriones unguiculatus (Mongolian gerbil)
Lineage: Eukaryota; Metazoa; Chordata; Mammalia; Rodentia; Muridae
Description: U2 spliceosomal RNA (ENSMUGG00000019337.1)
Rfam family: U2 spliceosomal RNA
About the family: U2 is a small nuclear RNA (snRNA) component of the spliceosome (involved in pre-mRNA splicing).
Source: RNAcentral